Molecule: long non-coding RNA, 796 nt
Organism: Bos indicus x Bos taurus (hybrid cattle)
Lineage: Eukaryota; Metazoa; Chordata; Mammalia; Artiodactyla; Bovidae
Source: Ensembl
AGAAUUGCUUGGCCACACUGAAGUGAAAUACUGAGGUUUAAACAUCAGGGUACCGCGAUGAUUUCAACAGCUAUCCGAGAAACCACAGAAUAUGAGCAUAUAAACAGACGUCUACAAGGGGGAAACUCACAGAUGACUGAAAAUGAAUUUUGGCAGUGAUACAUUAACAUAAUUGGCAGUCACUGGGGAAAAUAUUGACAAUGGCCCCAGGAGCAGCAACUACUGAAGCCCGAGAGUCCUAGAGCCCAUGUUGCACAGCAAGAAAAGCCACCGCAAUGAGACGCCCGUGCACUGCAACUAGAGAGUGGCCUGCAUACUGCAGUGGAGAGUGGCCUCUGUUCACCGCAAUUAUAGAAAAGCCCGCACAGUAAUGAAGACCCAGAACAGCGAACAAAAUUAAAUAAAUAAACAAUAAAGUCACUACGAAAGUUAUUUUAGCACUUGGCAGCUCCUUGUUACUGACUGCAGAAGAUCAAGUUUGUAAUCUGGUGGCAGACAUGAUAUAUAGUUUAUGGAGAACUAAGUAAAGAGAUGCUCCAUAAUUUUUAUAUCAUAUCCUAAGAUAAAAUAAUUUCUAACAUAGCUGGACACAUGAUCAUCAGUGCUAAAAUAGAAUUAUUUAAACAUAGAUUCUGCCUCAAAAACAUCCCACGGAUUAAUCAUUCGUCUUGCAUAUUUGAUGUCUAAUACAAUUAACGGGAAAGGUGUUUUUGUUCAAUUUGUGAAGAACAAAGGAAUCUAUGCUUUAGAGAUGUUCAAUGAUUUGUUCAAAUGAAAAAUAAAGUUUUAAACUAGA